Molecule: ribosomal RNA, 484 nt
Filed under: uncultured bacterium
Lineage: Bacteria
Description: partial 16S ribosomal RNA
Rfam family: Bacterial small subunit ribosomal RNA
Source: RNAcentral
AUUGAACGCUGGCGGCAGGCUUAACACAUGCAAGUCGAGCGGAUGAAGGGAGCUUGCUCCUGGAUUUCGCGGCGGACGGGUGUGUAAUGCCCAGGAAUCUGCUUGGUAGUGCGGGAUAACGUCCGGAGAAGGGUGGUAAUAACGCAUACGUCCUGCGGGUGCUAGAGGGGGAUGUUCGGACAUUUCGCUAUCAGAUGAGUCUACGGCGGAUUUGUCAGGUGGUGGGGUAAAGGCCUGCUAAGGAGACGAUCCGCAACUGGUCUGAGAGGAUGAUCAGUCAGACUGGGACGGUGACACGGUCCAGAGUCCUUGAGGUAGCGGCAAUGGGGAAUAUUGGACAAUGAGCGGAAACCUGAUCCAGACAUGCCGCGUGUGUGAAGAAGGUCUUCGGAUUGUAAAGCACUGUAAGUUGGGAGGAAGGGCAUUAAGUUAAUGCCGUACUGUGUGGGCGGUACCAGCAGAAAGAGCACCGGCUAACUUCGUG